GUCUACGGCCAUACCACCCUGAACACACCUGAUCUCAUCUGAUCUUAGAAGCUUAGCAGGGUUAGGCCUGGUUAGUACUUGGAUGGGAGGAAAGAACUAGUCAGGCA
Molecule: ribosomal RNA, 107 nt
Filed under: Erinaceus europaeus (western European hedgehog)
Lineage: Eukaryota; Metazoa; Chordata; Mammalia; Eulipotyphla; Erinaceidae
Source: RNAcentral